GGAGCUUGUUGUUGGUGGUGUUUGAAGAAGCUUUUAAAAUGAUCUGAAUGAAACUUUGGAUCCAACAUCACUGGUGGAACAAUGAUCGUCCCUUUAACUGGAAACAGAUGAAACCAGUUUGUUCUUCAGAAGCCGACAUUCAGGUUUUACUGAGUGACGUCAAAACAACAUGAAGCUGCUCCA
This is a long non-coding RNA of Oreochromis niloticus (Nile tilapia), 183 nucleotides long. RefSeq lists it as uncharacterized. The transcript has 2 exons. The record is from RefSeq and is a predicted model, not a curated record. NCBI's taxonomy places the organism in Eukaryota, Metazoa, Chordata, Actinopteri, Cichliformes, Cichlidae.